This is a long non-coding RNA of Choloepus didactylus (southern two-toed sloth), 1253 nucleotides long. RefSeq lists it as uncharacterized. The record is from RefSeq and is a predicted model, not a curated record. Lineage: Eukaryota; Metazoa; Chordata; Mammalia; Pilosa; Megalonychidae. The transcript has 3 exons.
UCUGCGCUUGCCGCCGCUGCGGCGCGGGGCAACUGGGAAAAAAGUUCUGCUCAACUGACCAGUGAGCCUACCGACCAUCGGCCGACCAGUGCACCAACCCGCUUCUCCUUACCUUGGUCCCAGAGUCGGAUGAGCACGCGGGUCCCGUCCGCACUGCAGCCAACUUGAAGGAGCCCCUCUCCGGCCAGCGCGCUCCCCUUCGCCCUUUCCCCGCCCCCACGGGUGUAUGCCCGGCGGCAAAGCGGGCUCCUCCAGGGAAUAAGGUCAUUGAGACUGAAGAUCUGGGUAAAGAGUAAAUAUCAUUCUUGCGUCCAGGGAAUCACUGAGGGACUUUCACAAUAACCAAGGAGGACUUGGCACAUCUGCCCCAGUGAAGAGGAGCCCUGCCCCGAGGCUCCAAUGGUGAAACUUAAGCAUGGCUCAGGCAGGGGAUCUACUUGAUGCAGCCGAGCUGGAGAGUGGAGGGUGGGAACUGGAGUGGAUCUCUUUUCUGAGGUCUGGGCUCUAACCUAAAGUUUCUGCAGACCUGGAAGCGAUCAGCAGAUGAAUUCUCUUUUCAAAGUUGUGAACUGGGGGACUUUUCACAGAGUGGGGCUUGGUUAGAGGAGAAGAAAGCCCCAGUGGAUCAAAAAUGGAGAUUGCUAAAGGAAGAUGAGCAACAGCUGCUUCUCUCACCUCCUCCUGCCCAGACCGGCUUCCCAGCGUGAGACCUGAGUAGUCAUGCAGAUGCCUGUGCUCAGAAGGGCCUGCACUUGGUUUAAUACUCUCAAGCUGUUAUCUUGAAAUUCUUAAUAAUUUUCACUUUGAAGUCGUGCUUUGCUUACGGGACAGUGGAGCGUGCACGGGAGUAGAGGAGCUCCACGCCACACGUUGCCUGCUAUUCCUCGCAGCCCUACUGCAUACAGCUUCGGCAAAGCCCCUUGAGCAAAGAAUUUCGGUGGGAGUUCAGUGAGACUCAAGGCAACUCUAAGGUAAGGCUAUGACUGAGUAAGUGGUGGUGCUGACACCUCCUGACGUCAUGCUUUCUGUUUGCACCAGAACUUGCUUCUAACACAGAAAGAAGGCAAUGGCAUUCUAAGAAACACUAACAACCAAGGAACCCCAUCAUACUAUUUACUCAUGUUAUUUCCCUGUAUUUGCCAUACCAUAACUCCUUUUCCUUUCAGCCCUUCCUUACUUCUCAGUAACCCCAAGGUAGAGCAUGCUGAUAAAAUGCACACGUAUUAAGAAGUAAAAUAAAAACAGGUUCAUUU